AGUGAACGCUGGCGGUAGGCCUAACACAUGCAAGUCGAACGGCAGCACAGUAAGAGCUUGCUCUUACGGGUGGCGAGUGGCGGACGGGUGAGGAAUACAUCGGAAUCUACUUUUUCGUGGGGGAUAACGUAGGGAAACUUACGCUAAUACCGCAUACGACCUACGGGUGAAAGCAGGGGAUCUUCGGACCUUGCGCGAUUGAAUGAGCCGAUGUCGGAUUAGCUAGUUGGCGGGGUAAAGGCCCACCAAGGCGACGAUCCGUAGCUGGUCUGAGAGGAUGAUAGGCACACUGGAAACGAGAAACGGUCCAGACCCCCACGGGAGGCAGCAGUGGGGAAUAUUGGACAAUUGGCGCAAGCCUGAUCCAGCCAUACCGCGUGGGUGAAGAAGGCCUUCGGGUUGUAAAACCCUUUUGGUGGGAAAGAAAAGCAGCAGGUUAAAACCCCGCUGUUCUGACGGUACCCAAAGAAUAAGCAACGGCUAACUUCGUG
RNAcentral lists this ribosomal RNA (491 nucleotides) under uncultured bacterium. RNAcentral's name for it is "partial 16S ribosomal RNA". It matches the Rfam family "Bacterial small subunit ribosomal RNA", at positions 29 to 507 of the family's 1533-position model. The record is from RNAcentral.